RNAcentral lists this long non-coding RNA (711 nucleotides) under Rattus norvegicus (Norway rat). RNAcentral's name for it is "long non-coding RNA NONRATT008671". Lineage: Eukaryota; Metazoa; Chordata; Mammalia; Rodentia; Muridae. The record is from RNAcentral.
GAUUCCUCUGUCUAACCCUACAAGUCCUUGGUUCUACCUCAGAACAGAACGGAAAAUGGAGUGAGUGAUCUUGCAGAACUGGCUGUGAUCUGCUAAACUCGAGCUAAGCGGCAGAGGUUUUGGGAACCUGACCUCAGAUCCUCCCACUUGAACAACAAGCACCUUUACCUACCUGCUGGACCAUCUCCUUACCUGCUGGACCAUCUCCUUACCUGCUGGACCAUCUCCUUACCUGCUGGACCAUCUCCUUACCUGCUGGACCAUCUCCUUACCUGCUGGACCAUCUCCUUACCUGCUGGACCAUCUCCUUACCUGCUGGACCAUCUCCUUACCUGCUGGACCAUCUCCUUACCUGCUGGACCAUCUCGUUACCUGCUGGACCAUCUCCUUACCUGCUGGACCAUCUCCUUACCUGCUGGACCAUCUCCUUACCUGCUGGACCAUCUCGUUACCUGCUGGACCAUCUCCUUACCUGCUGGACCAUCUCCCAACUUGGUUCUUUUGCAAGCUGUAUUUGGAUCCACGGACCUAAGACUUUUCUUCAGGAUCACAGGCUCAAGCAAUCUUGCCUGCACAAUCAACCCUAUCACCAAAAUGGAUCCAGUAGGAGCCUAAGAAUAUGUCUUAAGAACACAUUUCAUUAUAUUGUCUUAAUUAACACCCCGUGUCUUCCUUACCUGCCCCCAAUAAUAAAGGCCCCAUUCUCUUCUA